Molecule: long non-coding RNA, 281 nt
Filed under: Serinus canaria (Common canary)
Lineage: Eukaryota; Metazoa; Chordata; Aves; Passeriformes; Fringillidae
Description: lncRNA (ENSSCAG00000011725.1)
Source: RNAcentral
CACCCCGGCUCCCCGCAGCUCCCGGCGGGAGCCGCACGGGCCGUGGGAUCUGCGGGGCCGCGGCGCUUCGGGAGCGGUGUUGUUUCUAAUUAAUGCCUGUGUGGUAGCCUAAUCUGUGUUACCGGGCUCUCUGGAGUAUUGUCGCAACAAAGAUGAUACAGAAGCUGGAUUCAGUAUGGCUGAAUAAAUCUAGCCAUGGAGCUACACAUUGACUCUGGAGUUCACACUGCAUUGCAAACAAUGAUUGCCUGUGACUGUGGAAGUUGAUUUGAAGUCCUAGG